GAAAUGCGAUAAGUAAUGUGAAUUGCAGAAUUCAGUGAAUCAUCGAAUCUUUGAACGCACAUUGCGCCCCUUGGUAUUCCGGGGGGCAUGCUUGUUCGAGCGUCAUUAUAACCCCUCCAGCCUAGCUGGGUGUUGGACCGCGCCUCCGGGCGGGUCUUAAAGCUAGUGGCGGUGCUCUCAGGCUCUACGCGUAGUAAUCUUUCUCGCUACGGAGUCCUGGGGGAUGCUAGCCAGCAACCUCAACUUCUCAAGGUUGACCUCGAAUCAAGUAGGGAUACCCGCUGAACUUAA
This 291-nucleotide unclassified non-coding RNA is filed under the name uncultured Hyaloscyphaceae. Its description in RNAcentral is "sequence contains ITS1". The stretch from base 1 to 105 matches the Rfam family "5.8S ribosomal RNA", at positions 50 to 154 of the family's 154-position model. Lineage: Eukaryota; Fungi; Ascomycota; Leotiomycetes; Helotiales. The record is from RNAcentral.